RNAcentral lists this ribosomal RNA (308 nucleotides) under Pteraeolidia ianthina. RNAcentral describes it as "partial 16S ribosomal RNA". It matches the Rfam family "Bacterial large subunit ribosomal RNA", at positions 1950 to 2561 of the family's 2925-position model. Lineage: Eukaryota; Metazoa; Mollusca; Gastropoda; Nudibranchia; Facelinidae. The record is from RNAcentral.
GCUAAGGUAGCAUAAUAAUUUGUCUAAUAAUUUUAGACUGGAAUGAAUGUAAUCACACGGUUCUAAUGUCUCCCUCCUUAUUGGUUGAAUUUCCUUUAUAGGUGAAAAGGCCUAUAACGAAUAAUGGGACGAGAAGACCCUUAGAAUUUGUAAAAGAUUUCACUGGGGCGGUGAUGGCUUGAAUCAGCCAUAAUAAUACAAGACGGACGUGUCAUGUGUGAGUAAAUUACCUAAGGGAUAACAGCAUAAUAAUAUAAAUUUGAUUGUGACCUCGAUGUUGGACUAGGGAACUCCAGGGCCAGAAGCUC